Non-coding RNA from Neolamprologus brichardi, 124 nucleotides. The record is from RefSeq and is a predicted model, not a curated record. Lineage: Eukaryota; Metazoa; Chordata; Actinopteri; Cichliformes; Cichlidae.
CUUGAACACUCUCAGUUAAUCAUUAAGCAGGUGUUGAGAUUAGUUUUGUCAAGCCUCCAUAAUCAGCUGUCAAGAUGAGUUCUUCCAGUCAUCAACAAAACCCUGUGAAGUUUACUAUCACUCU